AUAAUUUCACAGCCUUUUGGCUAAGACAAAUGUAAUAUGCAUUAUUAGUUAAUAGCUUGUAUGUUCUUUAUCUGAGGAUAAUAUGUUAAGUGGAUUUUUGGAGCAGGGAGAUGAAAUAGAAGCUCACUCUGCCCACUCUGUGCAUCAACCUGAUAUUGCAGCACCUUCAAAAAUGGUGCAACCCAU
Molecule: small nuclear RNA, 186 nt
Filed under: Castor canadensis (American beaver)
Lineage: Eukaryota; Metazoa; Chordata; Mammalia; Rodentia; Castoridae
Description: U2 spliceosomal RNA (ENSCCNG00000012654.1)
Rfam family: U2 spliceosomal RNA
About the family: U2 is a small nuclear RNA (snRNA) component of the spliceosome (involved in pre-mRNA splicing). Complementary binding between U2 snRNA (in an area lying towards the 5' end but 3' to hairpin I) and the branchpoint sequence (BPS) of the intron results the bulging out of an unpaired adenosine, on the BPS, which initiates a nucleophilic attack at the intronic 5' splice site, thus starting the first of two transesterification reactions that mediate splicing.
Source: Rfam by way of RNAcentral